RNAcentral lists this ribosomal RNA (466 nucleotides) under uncultured bacterium. RNAcentral's name for it is "partial 16S ribosomal RNA". It matches the Rfam family "Bacterial small subunit ribosomal RNA", at positions 28 to 507 of the family's 1533-position model. The record is from RNAcentral.
GACGAACGCUGGCGGCGCGCCUAACACAUGCAAGUCGAACGGGCGAGAGAGAGCUUGCUUUCUCGAGCGAGUGGCGAACGGGUGAGUAACGCGUGAGGAACCUGCCUCAAAGAGGGGGACAACAGUUGGAAACGACUGCUAAUACCGCAUAAGCCCACGGCUCGGCAUCGAGCAGGGGGAAAAGGAGCAAUCCGCUUUGAGAUGGCCUCGCGUCCGAUUAGCUAGUUGGUGGGGUAACGGCCCACCAAGGCGACGAUCGGUAGCCGGACUGAGAGGUUGAACGGCCACAUUGGGACUGAGACACGGCCCAGACUCCUACGGGAGGCAGCAGUGGGGAAUAUUGCACAAUGGGGGAAACCCUGAUGCAGCGACGCCGCGUGGAGGAAGAAGGUCUUCGGAUUGUAAACUCCUGUUGUUGGGGAAGAUAAUGACGGUACCCAACAAGGAAGUGACGGCUAACUACGUG